This 73-nucleotide transfer RNA is filed under the name Dreissena polymorpha. It matches the Rfam family "tRNA". From Rfam's summary of the family: Transfer RNA (tRNA) molecules are approximately 80 nucleotides in length. Their secondary structure includes four short double-helical elements and three loops (D, anti-codon, and T loops). Lineage: Eukaryota; Metazoa; Mollusca; Bivalvia; Myida; Dreissenidae. The record is from Rfam by way of RNAcentral.
AUUCACAUGGCCGAGUGGUUUAGGCGCUAGACUUUUACUUCAAGGAUCAGUGGUUCAAGCCCAGUUGUUAAUU